RNAcentral lists this unclassified non-coding RNA (240 nucleotides) under soil metagenome. RNAcentral's name for it is "partial contains 5.8S ribosomal RNA, internal transcribed spacer 2, and large subunit ribosomal RNA". The record is from RNAcentral.
AACCUAGCACACCUGCGGUGUGUACCUGCGGAGGGAUCAUUAACCUUUCAAAUCAGGGUGCGUCGCGGCCCCCGAGGAGCGGAAACAAUCCUGGGGAGGUUUGCGGGGUCUUCGGACCCCCCUAACGCACGCACGACUGCCAUCCUUACUUUACGAGCACCUUCUGUUCUCCCUCGGCGGGGCAACCUGCCGUUGGAACCGAAUAAACUCUUUUUGCAUCUAGCAUUACCUGUUCCGAAA